UACAGAGGUCUCAAGCGUUGUUCGGAUUCAUUGGGCGUAAAGGGUGCGUAGGCGGCGCGGUAAGUCGGGUGUGAAAUCUCGGGGCUUAACUCCGAAACUGCAUUCGAUACUGCCGUGCUUGAGGACUGGAGAGGAGACUGGAAUUUACGGUGUAGUGGUGAAAUGCGUAGAUAUCGUAAGGAAGACCAGUGGCGAAGGCGGGUCUCUGGACAGUUCCUGACGCUGAAGCACGAAGGCCAGGGGAGCAAACGGG
RNAcentral lists this ribosomal RNA (253 nucleotides) under uncultured bacterium. RNAcentral's name for it is "partial 16S ribosomal RNA". It matches the Rfam family "Bacterial small subunit ribosomal RNA", at positions 524 to 776 of the family's 1533-position model. The record is from RNAcentral.